AACAAUUAAAAAAAAACACUGAAAACACCAGUUCUCAUCCGAACACUGCAGUUAAGCAGCAUUGGGCACGGUUAGUACUUGGAUGGAUGACCACUUGGGAACAUCAUGUACUGUUGGAA
RNAcentral lists this ribosomal RNA (119 nucleotides) under Harpegnathos saltator (Jerdon's jumping ant). Lineage: Eukaryota; Metazoa; Arthropoda; Insecta; Hymenoptera; Formicidae. The record is from RNAcentral.